RNAcentral lists this transfer RNA (73 nucleotides) under Opitutales bacterium. RNAcentral's name for it is "tRNA-Thr". It matches the Rfam family "tRNA". From Rfam's summary of the family: Transfer RNA (tRNA) molecules are approximately 80 nucleotides in length. Their secondary structure includes four short double-helical elements and three loops (D, anti-codon, and T loops). Lineage: Bacteria; Pseudomonadati; Verrucomicrobiota; Opitutia; Opitutales. The record is from RNAcentral.
GCCGGAAUAGCUCAGUUGGUAGAGCAACGCUUUCGUAAAGCGUGGGUCGUCGGUUCGAGUCCGAUUUCCGGCU